This 363-nucleotide long non-coding RNA is filed under the name Bos taurus (domestic cattle). Its description in RNAcentral is "long non-coding RNA NONBTAT001794". Lineage: Eukaryota; Metazoa; Chordata; Mammalia; Artiodactyla; Bovidae. The record is from RNAcentral.
GUAACUCAAGAAAAUGAUAACUGUUCAAGGGCCUUUUGGGGAAAAUACCCUGAUGAUCCCAAUAAAAAAUACUGGGCUGUUCUCAAUUAUUGUGAAAAGAAAUGAGUAAUGGAAAGGUGAUCAUUUUUUAUCUUAUCCUAGACCCAAAGAUUGAGGCAGAAACUUGAGGGUGGCCCAUUAAGUGACUUGCUUAACCAGCAAAAAGUUGUGCACGAGCCAUGUGUGUUGUGUUGUGUGGUUAGGGACAGCGUGAUGUUUGUAAAGAGAGAAAACGGGGGGACUGUCUGUCCAAAAGUGUGUUCCCUGCAGUCCCAGAGUGGUGCCUAUACCUUCCACUGUUAGAAGCACUCCUGGAGGUUACAC